This 651-nucleotide long non-coding RNA is filed under the name Elaeis guineensis (African oil palm). Its description in RNAcentral is "long non-coding RNA (EGUI_LNC030074)". Lineage: Eukaryota; Viridiplantae; Streptophyta; Magnoliopsida; Arecales; Arecaceae. The record is from RNAcentral.
CCGAGAGCUUCGUCUUCCUCCAGCAUGUCCCUCUCGAUUUUAGGCGCUCUUCGGGUCGACCCCCAUCACCCUUGCUGCCUUCCUGCAUCUCUCGGACUAGUCUAGGUUAGUUCUGGAACCCCUCUCUUUCUUGUUCUUUUUCUAUUUUUUCUCCUUCGUGUUACGCCCGUUCGAUUUCUCCGCAAGCGUCUUAUUUCUUAUUUUUUUCUAAUUUUUUCGAGAUUUUUUAGGAUUUUUGCUUGAUUCAUAAUGUCCUCCAACACCUCCUCCUCUAGCAAUUCUAGGAGUUCAUCCGUUUCAGUCCCACAAAAUUUUAGUUCUGUAGAUGAACCUCGUCCGAUCUUUGUACCAGACACCAUUCCUAGUACUCUGAUUUUGGACGAACUCUCACUGAUCAAAAUUCAGUACGGAGUUUCUCCAGAGUACGAGUUUGAGCUUUCCGGGCCAACUGAUCGGGCUAGUGCCCCUCCUCCUGACCGCUUCUACUUAUAUCAGGAAGCUUUCCGCGUCGGACUUCGACUUCCGCUUCCACCUUUUAUCGUUGCUCUUUUUCAUUUUUUAAAUAUUUUUUAGUUUCGGUAGUGCCGAACUCCUUUAGGUUUUUGAUAGGAUUUCUUUCCCUCUGUCGCUUAGUCGAAGUCCGGCCAACCC